CCACUGCUAUCAGAAAUCCGACUAAGCCAUGGGAAUUCAGAGCCGCAAGGCUCGGCGCACUGCUCAGUAACACGUAGUCAAUCUGCCCUGAGGUCGGGGAUAACACCGGGAAACUGGUGGCAAUACCCGAUAGGUGAAGGGAUCUGGAAGGCCCCUUCAUCCAAAGGCUUGCCGCCUCAGGAUGAGACUGCGCCGGAUUAGGUUGUUGGUGGUGUAACGGACCACCAAGCCGAUAAUCCGUACGGGUUGUGAGAGCAACAGCCCGGAGAUGGACUCUGAGACAUGAGUCCAGGCCCUACGGGGUGCACCAGGCGCGAAACCUUCGCAAUGCGCGAAAGCGUGACGAGGGGAUUCUGAGUGGCUUCGCACCGCGAAGCCUUUUGUCGAGUGUGAAAAGGCUCGGCGAAUAAGGGGUGGGCAAGACGGUUGCCAGCCGCCGCGGUAAUAACCGCGCCCCGAGUGGUGGCCACUUUUAUUGGGCCUAAAGCGUCCGUAGCCGGUCUGGAAAGUCUACGGUAAAAGCCCACUGCAAACAGUGGAAUUGCCGUAGAUACUGCCAGACUAGGGACCGGGAGAGGUCUGGGGUACGGCCAGGGUAGGGGUUAAAUCCGUUAAUCCUGGCAGGACCACCUGUGGCGAAGGCGCCAGACUGGAACGGCUCCGACGGUGAGGGACGGAAGCUGGGGGAGCGAUCGGGAUUAGAUACCCCGGUAGUCCCAGCUGUAAACGAUGCCCACUUGGUGUUGGCAACCUUACGAGGGUUGCCGGUGCCGAAGCGAAGGCGAUAAGUGGGCCGCCUGGGGAGUACGUCCGCAAGGAUGAAACUUAAGGGAAUUGGCGGGGGAGCACUACAAGGGGUGGAGGCUGCUGUUCAAUUGGACUCAACGCCGGGAACCUCACCUGGGAAGACAGCAGAAUGAGGGUCACCCUGAAGGGGUUACCAGACACGCUGAGAGGUGGUGCAUGGCCGUCGUCAGCUCGUGCCGUGAGGUGUCCUCUUAAAGUUGAGGAAACGAGCGAGACCCACGCCCUUAGUUGCCACUUCCAUCUCCGGAUGGGAAGCACUCUAAGGGGACCGCUGCUGUAAAGCAGAGGAAGGAGUGGGCAACGGCAGGUCUGUAUGCCCCGAAUUCCCAGGGCUACAAGCGGCCUACAAAGCAUGGGCCAACGGGCUGCGACCCCGAAAGGGGAAGCCAAUCCCUCAAACCCAUGCCUAGUUCGGAUCGAGGGAUGCAACCCGCCCUCGUGAAGCCGGAAUCCCUAGUAAGCGGAAGUCAUCAUCUUUCGCUGAAUACGUCCCUGCUCCUUGCACACACCGCCCGUCAAGCCAUCUGAGUGGGUUUUUGGUGAGGCCUGCGAUGAGUAGGUCGAACCAGAGGCCUGCAAGGAGGG
RNAcentral lists this ribosomal RNA (1392 nucleotides) under unidentified archaeon. RNAcentral's name for it is "16S ribosomal RNA". It matches the Rfam family "Archaeal small subunit ribosomal RNA". The record is from RNAcentral.